RNAcentral lists this ribosomal RNA (827 nucleotides) under uncultured bacterium. Its description in RNAcentral is "bacterial SSU rRNA". It matches the Rfam family "Bacterial small subunit ribosomal RNA", at positions 8 to 848 of the family's 1533-position model. The record is from RNAcentral.
AGAGUUUGAUCAUGGCUCAGGACGAACGCUUGCGGCGUGCCUAAGAAAUGCAAGUCGAGCGAGCUUAGGGCUUCGGCCCGAAGGCUAGCGGCGAACGGUCGAGUAACACGUGAGCAACCUGCCCUAAAGUGGGGGAUAGCCCAGCGAAAGUUGGAUUAAUACCGCAUGUGAUCCGUUCCCGGCAUCGGGAACUGAUUGAAGCAGCAAUGCGCUUUAGGAUGGGCUCGCGGCCUAUCAGCUUGUUGGUGGGGUAAUGGCCUACCAAGGCGACGACGGGUAGCUAGUCUGAGAGGAUGGUCAGCCGGAUUGGGACUGAGACACGGCCCAGACUCCUACGGGGGGCAGCAAUUAGGAAUCUUGCGCAAUGGGCGAAAGCCUGACGCAGCGACGCCGCGUGACUGAUGAAGUCCUUCGGGAUGUAAAAGUCUUUUGCCGGGGAAGAAGAUCUGACGGUACCCGGCGAAUAAGCCCCGGCUAACUACGUGCCAGCAGCCGCGGUAAUACGUAGGGGGCGAGCGUUGUCCGAAGUUACUGGGCGUAAAGCGCGCGUAGGCGGUCGCUUAAGUUAGAUGUGAAAUCCCGCAGCUCAACUGCGGAACUGCAUCUAAAACUGGGCGACUUGAGGACGGAAGAGGGCAGUGGAAUUCCUGGUGUAGCGGUGAAAUGCGUAGAUAUCAGGAGGAACACCCGUGGCGAAGGCGGCUGCCUGGUCCGUAUCUGACGCUGAGGUGCGAAAGCUAGGGGAGCGAACGGGAUUAGAUACCCCGGUAGUCCUAGCCGUAAACGAUGGAUACUAGGUGUAAGUGGUAUCGACCCCACUUGUGCCG